GACGAACGCUGGCGGCGUGCCUAAUACAUGCAAGUAGAACGCUGAAGCUUGGUGCUUGCACCGAGCGGAUGAGUUGCGAACGGGUGAGUAACGCGUAGGUAACCUGCCUGGUAGCGGGGGAUAACUAUUGGAAACGAUAGCUAAUACCGCAUAAAAUGGAUUAUCGCAUGAUAAUCGAUUGAAAGGUGCAAAUGCAUCACUACCAGAUGGACCUGCGUUGUAUUAGCUAGUUGGUGGGGUAACGGCUCACCAAGGCGACGAUACAUAGCCGACCUGAGAGGGUGAUCGGCCACACUGGGACUGAGACACGGCCCAGACUCCUACGGGAGGCAGCAGUAGGGAAUCUUCGGCAAUGGACGGAAGUCUGACCGAGCAACGCCGCGUGAGUGAAGAAGGUUUUCGGAUCGUAAAGCUCUGUUGUAAGAGAAGAACGAGUGUGAGAGUGGAAAGUUCACACUGUGACGGUAUCUUACCAGAAAGGGACGGCUAACUACGUGCCAGCAGCCGCCGCAG
RNAcentral lists this ribosomal RNA (513 nucleotides) under uncultured bacterium. RNAcentral describes it as "partial 16S ribosomal RNA". It matches the Rfam family "Bacterial small subunit ribosomal RNA", at positions 28 to 523 of the family's 1533-position model. The record is from RNAcentral.